Molecule: long non-coding RNA, 84 nt
Organism: Alosa sapidissima (American shad)
Lineage: Eukaryota; Metazoa; Chordata; Actinopteri; Clupeiformes; Clupeidae
Exons: 3
Source: RefSeq, a predicted model, not a curated record
GUAUUGCAAGGAUUCGUUGUACUGUCACGUUUGGUUAAUCUAUUAUUCGCGCUGGGGUUGGAGAAGCUGAAAACUAUAAACUGG